CCCUUAGAUGUUCUGGGCCGCACGCGUGCUACACUGAUGCAUUCAACGAGUCUAAAACCUGGUCUGAUAGGGCUGGGUAAUCUUUUGAAAGUGCAUCGUGAUUGGGAUAGAUGAUUGCAAUUCUUCAUCUUCAACGAGGAAUGCCUAGUAAACGCAAGUCAUCAGCUUGCAUUGAUUACGUCCCUGCCCUUUGUACACACCGCCCGUCGCUCCUACCGAUUGAAUGAUCCGAUGAAUACCAUGGAUUGAGAGUACGAAUAGGUUCGCUUAUUUCUGCUGCUCGAGAAGUGGAGUAAAUCUUAUCAUUUAGAGGAAGGAGAANUCGUAACA
Molecule: ribosomal RNA, 330 nt
Filed under: uncultured eukaryote
Lineage: Eukaryota
Description: partial 18S ribosomal RNA
Rfam family: Eukaryotic small subunit ribosomal RNA
Source: RNAcentral